Long non-coding RNA from Dermacentor albipictus, 1845 nucleotides. RefSeq lists it as uncharacterized. NCBI's taxonomy places the organism in Eukaryota, Metazoa, Arthropoda, Arachnida, Ixodida, Ixodidae. The record is from RefSeq and is a predicted model, not a curated record.
UUAUCGAAAUGCCGGUAAUGCCGUUGCAUCAGGUGAAAUGAAGCCCUACCUUUUUCACGCAAAACUGCAAAAUUGUACACGAGAAACACGUCUACCGGGUCCAUGCAUGAGCGUGGAACACUGGCCUCAGCUAGGAAAUGCUACGAAGGUACUCUGGCAGUAUAAUCCUACAGGACUGUGUGGUAUCUUUUUCUAUUGGCUUCAAGCAUAUUACGAGAGCUCAACCCAGCUCCUCAGGCGCGGCGGUGUCGCCUUCAAUACCACGUGACACCGUGACGUCACGACAGAGGAGAAGUGGCUUUGGCUAAACUCUUGCAAGAUGGGCUGGGUGGGAAUCGAACCAGGGUCUCCGGAGUGUGAGACGGAGACGCUACCACUGAGCCACGAGUAUUUUUUUUUAUUACCGGCUUGGCAAAAGAAGGUACAAUGUGAGUAUUACAUGGUCAUAAAAACAACUAGUCAAUGCCGGAUCAGUGUGGUGUGAUAAGAACGAUGUAGGCUAGUCACUUUGUCCAAAGCACUUAGCCAAUCAGGAGGGUCACUCUGUGCACAGAAAAAUUCGCGUAUAUAUAACACACUUUCAAUGAAAUAUUCAUGUGCAGGGGCCUGAACAAUGCGCUCAUGUCUGAUAUCCAUACGCGUUCGCCACACACUGUGCAUGCACAAAAGCAUUAACAGAUCGACAGGCACUCCCUCUGGUUCCGCGCAUGGCAGGAAGCGUAUUCCGAAAGCACUUAAGGGCAACUCCUUUUUAAGGCUACGUUUUAGAAUAUCCCACAAAAACACUGCGUCAUGACAGUCCAAAAAGAUAUGCUCAAUCGUCUCCGGUUUAUUGCAUAUAAAGCAAUUCACAGACCAAGGUACAAAAAUGCCUUUGCUUUGCAGCCACGGUUUCACUGGGAGAGUGCCUGUAUGUAGUUGAAAAAAGAAAGAUUUAACAGAAGCUCUUACCGGCAUUCGUUUAACUCUCUUAAGAACAUCUCGUUCUGAACCUAAAACAAAUACUGUACGAUACAACGGUACAGGCAAGAAUACAUCAACAAGAUCUUUGUACAACUUCUUACUAGUAACAACGGCCAAAUAUUCACUGGAAAAUCUUGCUUUUAGUAUUCGGAAAGAUGCGACCACUUCACGCAAAAAAGCACUUAAAGGCAUUGGCCCCGUAUGCAUGGACGACACUACAUAAUCAGGCGAUGAAUCACGCAGUCUAGCUUGAAUCAUUGUUCUCAGAAAAGCAUCCUUUUGAUCACGCAAAAAAAGAAACCUGCUUACAAUCUGUUUGAGGAACAAAUGUGACAACCCCAGCCCCCCAUUCAACACUCUAUGGAACAGAUUACUACGACUUGUACGUUCCCAUGUUGAAGCCCAAAUGAACAUCGCAAAUACUCUAUGUAGCUUUUGCACAGACAUCCUCGUCAGACAUAACGCUUGCAUCACAUAAAAGAUUUUCGCGACUAAAAACAAAUUACACACUGUGGCUCUUGCAAACAUUGAAAAUUUAUGCCCUCCCCAUUUGCCGGUCUGGGUUUUCAUUCGCACUACUUCGUUGUCCCAAUAUUCUUUGCUAUCUCGAUAAUGUGCGAGGGGGACACCUAGGUAGGUGCCUGGAGUUACUGCCCAUUGCAUGUUACAAAAAGUCUCGGGCUUGUAUUGCCAAUUCCCAUGCCAAAAACCAAGACACUUGUUCCAGUUAAUAGCACUUCCACUUGCAGUACAAAAUUUUACAGCCUCUUGUACAACUGCUUUAACACUGUCAUGGUCCGUACAAAACACUGCUACAUCAUCAGCAUAUGCUAAAACUCGAACUUCAGUUUUAUGAAAAGUGUAACCCCGAAUGUUUGGGCU